UACAGAGGUCCCAAGCGUUGUUCGGAUUCAUUGGGCGUAAAGGGCGCGUAGGUGGUUUUGUAUGUCUACCGUGAAAGCAUACAGCUCAACUGUAUUUUGUCGGUAGAAACUGCAGGACUUGAGGCUGGGAGGGGCUGGUGGAAUUCCCUGUGUAGCGGUGAAAUGCGUAGAGAUGGGGGAGAACACUCGUGGCGAAGGCGGCCAGCUAGACCAGUUCUGACACUGAGGCGCGACAGCGUGGGGAGCAAACAGG
This 253-nucleotide ribosomal RNA is filed under the name uncultured bacterium. RNAcentral's name for it is "partial 16S ribosomal RNA". It matches the Rfam family "Bacterial small subunit ribosomal RNA", at positions 524 to 776 of the family's 1533-position model. The record is from RNAcentral.